RNAcentral lists this small RNA (584 nucleotides) under Pan troglodytes (chimpanzee). RNAcentral's name for it is "processed transcript". The record is from RNAcentral. Lineage: Eukaryota; Metazoa; Chordata; Mammalia; Primates; Hominidae.
GUCGGAGCCUCGGCGGCGGCGGCGGUGCUUACAGCCUGAGAAGAGCGUCUCGCCCGGGAGCGGCGGCGGCCAUCGAGACCCACCCAAGGCGCGUCCCCCUCGGCCUCCCAGCGCUCCCAGGCCGCAGCGGCCGCGCCCCUUCAGCUAGCUCGCUCGCUCGCUCUCCUUCCCUGCUGCCGGCUGCGCCAUGGCGUUGGCGUUGGCGGCGCUGGCGGCGGUCGAGCCGGCCUGCGGCAGCCGGUACCAGCAGCUGCAGAAUGAAGAAGAGUCUGGAGAACCUGAACAGGCUGCAGGUGAUGCUCCUCCACCUUACAGCAGCAUUUCUGCAGAGAGCACAGGUAGGUAACAGGGCAAGGUGAUCACGGAAUCCUUAAAAACACUCUGUGCUUUGACAUUACAGUUUAAAAAAAAAAAAGCCUCAGAAGCAGUUGCAAGAAAGGUUACAAAGCAAGUCUGGAUUUUAAAUAAUUGGGAAGUGGAUACAUUUAAAAAUCACCCCCAGUUUAUUACAUUCAUCUAAGAAUGUCUUUUGGUUCAAUUGUUAUAUAUUAAUUGGCUUUGUAUGAGCAAGAGUUUGUGAAGGG